This 253-nucleotide ribosomal RNA is filed under the name uncultured bacterium. RNAcentral's name for it is "partial 16S ribosomal RNA". It matches the Rfam family "Bacterial small subunit ribosomal RNA", at positions 524 to 776 of the family's 1533-position model. The record is from RNAcentral.
GACGUAGGGGGCCAGCGUUGUUCGGAAUUACUGGGUGUAAAGGGUUCGUAGGCGGUGUGGCAAGUCGGGAGUGAAAUCUCUGGGCUCAACCCAGAGUCUGCUUCCGAAACUGCUGUGCUUGAGUGUGGGAGAGGCGCGUGGAAUUGCGGGUGUAGCGGUGAAAUGCGUAGAUAUCUGCAGGAACACCCGUGGCGAAAGCGGCGCGCUGGACCACUACUGACGCUGAGGAACGAAAGCUAGGGGAGCAAACAGG